UACAGAGGGUGCGAGCGUUGUCCGGAAUCACUGGGCGUAAGGGGCGCGUAGGCGGCUUUUCAAGCGUGCGGUGAAAGCUCGGGGCUUAACUCCGAGUCUGCCGUGCGAACUGGGAGGCUUGAGUCUGGUAGAGGUCGAUGGAAUUCCGGGUGUAGCGGUGGAAUGCGUAGAGAUCCGGAAGAACACCGGUGGCGAAGGCGGUCGACUGGGCCAGUACUGACGCUGAGGCGCGACAGCGUGGGGAGCAAACAGG
RNAcentral lists this ribosomal RNA (253 nucleotides) under uncultured bacterium. Its description in RNAcentral is "partial 16S ribosomal RNA". It matches the Rfam family "Bacterial small subunit ribosomal RNA", at positions 524 to 776 of the family's 1533-position model. The record is from RNAcentral.